This 420-nucleotide ribosomal RNA is filed under the name uncultured bacterium. RNAcentral describes it as "bacterial SSU rRNA". It matches the Rfam family "Bacterial small subunit ribosomal RNA", at positions 354 to 788 of the family's 1533-position model. The record is from RNAcentral.
UGAGGGAAUAUUUGGGGGCAAUGGAGGCAACUCUGACCCAGCCAUGCCGCGUGAGUGAAGAAGGUUUUCGGAUUGUAAAGCUCUUUCGGACAGGAAGAUAAUGACGGUACUGUCUAAAGAAGCCCCGGCUAACUUCGUGCCAGCAGCCGCGGUAAUACGAAGGGGGCGAGCGUUGUUCGGAAUUACUGGGCGUAAAGGGUGUGUAGGCGGCUUUGUAAGAUAGCGGUGAAAUACCUGGGCUUAACCUAGGAACUGCCGUUAUUACUAUAGAGCUAGAGUGAUAGAGAGGAUAUUGGAAUACCCAGUGUAGAGGUGAAAUUCGUAGAUAUUGGGUAGAACACCGGUGGCGAAGGCGAGUAUCUGGCUAUUAACUGACGCUGAGGCACGAAAGCAUGGGGAUCAAACAGGAUUAGAUACCCU